RNAcentral lists this ribosomal RNA (493 nucleotides) under uncultured bacterium. Its description in RNAcentral is "partial 16S ribosomal RNA". It matches the Rfam family "Bacterial small subunit ribosomal RNA", at positions 29 to 523 of the family's 1533-position model. The record is from RNAcentral.
AUUGAACGCUGGCGGCAUGCUUUACACAUGCAAGUCGGACGGUAACAGGUUAAGCUGACGAGUGGCGAACGGGUGAGUAAUGCAUCGGAACGUGCCCGGUCGUGGGGGAUAACGCAGCGAAAGCUGCGCUAAUACCGCAUACGAUCUGAGGAUGAAAGCGGGGGACCGUAAGGCCUCGCGCGAUCGGAGCGGCCGAUGUCAGAUUAGGUAGUUGGUGGGGUAAAGGCUCACCAAGCCAACGAUCUGUAGCUGGUCUGAGAGGAAGACCAGCCACACUGGGACUGAGACACGGCCCAGACUCCUACGGGAGGCAGCAGUGGGGAAUUUUGGACAAUGGGCGAAAGCCUGAUCCAGCAAUGCCGCGUGCAGGAAGAAGGCCUUCGGGUUGUAAACUGCUUUUGUACGGAGCGAAAAGGUCUCCUCUAAUACAGGGGGCUCAUGACGGUACCGUAAGAAUAAGCACCGGCUAACUACGUGCCAGCAGCCGCAGUAA